UUCUAUUCAAAUAGUCUGUUGAGUAUCUUUUUUCAUUUGUGGCAUCAACAAGACAAUGCUAUGAUAGAGUAUUUCAAGCUUGGUGAUCUAUGAGUUUGCUACGACAAGAUUAGUGCGUAUGGCUUUGGAUCACAAGCCGAUUUAAACAAUGGAGAAACCAUUAUGCAAUACUUUGUUUCUUACCUAUCUGUCAUUCAUAUCAACACUAACAAACCAUUGUAUUGUCCAGUGAUAGUGAGAGCAAGAAGUUGUUUUCAAGAUCUAUGAGAAAUGAUUCAAGCAAAACAUGGGAUGCUGUCUCUGAAGAUUGGGUUUUUGAUCCAGAUGGUUCAAUAUGUCUCGUGCAAGUUGGAUGACUGUUGCUUGGUAAGCAAGCAAUCGUCAGCCAGUACAAUUCUUGAACUAUUAGUUUGAUAAGUGGGAUUGUUUGAUGGACUAGAUAUCCGAGCAAGAACAAGAUAGAUUUGAACAAGAUAGAUUUGAUGACAUGUAACUUUCUCUUCCUCUUUUCAAGAUAAUGUGGUGGAAACAUGAUAGCAACAACAAAAGCAAGGAAGGACUGUGUUGUGAAGCAUCUGUUGCUAGAAGCACAUUACACAAGAAUCUUUUUCAGAUUAAAACUAAACAACAAUUUAGCUUAGAU
Molecule: long non-coding RNA, 643 nt
Organism: Raphanus sativus (radish)
Lineage: Eukaryota; Viridiplantae; Streptophyta; Magnoliopsida; Brassicales; Brassicaceae
Exons: 3
Source: RefSeq, a predicted model, not a curated record